RNAcentral lists this ribosomal RNA (448 nucleotides) under uncultured bacterium. RNAcentral describes it as "SSU rRNA". It matches the Rfam family "Bacterial small subunit ribosomal RNA", at positions 26 to 518 of the family's 1533-position model. The record is from RNAcentral.
AGAGCGAACGCUGGCGGCAGGCCUAACACAUGCAAGUCGAGCGCCCGUAGCAAUACGGGAGCGGCAGACGGGAUAGUAACACGUGGGAACGCGCCCUUCGGUUCGGAAUAACUCAGGGAAACUUGAGCUAAUACCGGAUACGCCCUUACGGGGAAAGAUUUAUUGCCGAAGGAACGGCCCGCGUCCGAUUAGCUAGUUGGUGAGGUAAUGGCUCACCAAGGCGACGAUCGGUAGCUGGUCUGAGAGGAUGACCAGCAUCACUGGGACUGAGACACGGCCCAGACUCCUACGGGAGGCAGCAGUGGGGAAUAUUGGACAAUGGGCGCAAGCCUGAUCCAGCUAUGCCGCGUGAGUGAUGACGGCCUUAGGGUUGUAAAGCUCUUUCGCUAGGGACGAUAAUGACGGUACCUAGACAAGAAGCCCCGGCUAACUUCGUGCCAGCAGCCGC